UUCCCUACGGGAGGCAGCAGUAGGGAAUUUUCGUCAAUGGGCGCAAGCCUGAACGAGCAAUGCCGCGUGAACGAGGAAGGUCUUCGGAUCGUAAAGUUCUGUUGAAGGGGAAAAAGAGCGGAGAGAGGAAAUGAACUCCGAUUGAUAUUACCCUUCGAGGAAGUCACGGCUAACUACGUGCCAGCAGCCGCGGUAAUACGUAGGUGGCGAGCGUUAUCCGGAAUGAUUGGGCGUAAAGGGUGCGUAGGCGGCCUGCUAAGUCUGGAGUGAAAGGCACUGGCUCAACCGGUACAGGCGUUGGAAAA
Molecule: ribosomal RNA, 305 nt
Filed under: uncultured bacterium
Lineage: Bacteria
Description: bacterial SSU rRNA
Rfam family: Bacterial small subunit ribosomal RNA
Source: RNAcentral